RNA transcript from Cynoglossus semilaevis (tongue sole), 3140 nucleotides. It is a transcript of the gene named zinc finger protein 436, with no coding region annotated. Lineage: Eukaryota; Metazoa; Chordata; Actinopteri; Pleuronectiformes; Cynoglossidae. The transcript is spliced from 5 exons. The record is from RefSeq and is a predicted model, not a curated record.
AAGGCCCAACGGGAGGGAAGGCGCAAAUACACACCGUUCUUUCUGGUGACGUGUUUCAGGAAGGCUCUUUUCUCCCGCCUUCGUCAGACGAAAACCUCCAUUUUCCUGCAACUGAUUGGCUUACGUUUUGUCAUACAGCUUUCUGGUUGGUUAGGACUCGUGACGAGGGUAAGCGUCAACCAAUGGGAGGUAAAGUAUGCGCAGGAGUCAGGGUGACAGGAAAAAACGAUUCUAGUCGGGUAAGGAAGAUGCAGUUGUGUAACGGAGAGAAUAAAACAUAUAUUUUAUUGUUUUAUUUGUUACAAAGGCCUGUUUACGGCUGAGCAGGUCUGAGACAAGCCCAGUCUACGACUAAGCUAUUUUUCUGGCUCAAACAGUAGAGUUUGGUUUCUAUUCAUGGACAAAGAAAAGUGUACCGACAUUCCUGGUUCCUGCUCCUGGAUGGAGAUGCAUCAGUUCAUCGGGGACCUCAUCACAUCUGGGAAUGCCUCCAAAGAUCAGCCAGAUGUGCUAAAUGCAACAUGGGGCAUGGCUGGUGGUGGCAUCACAAUGGGUUUUAAAGCUGCUUUGCCUGAACCUCUACAACCAACACAGGGUCUGCUACCAGUCCAGGAAAAGUCCCAGCAGGCAGGGCCGAGCCAACACACUCAGCCUCGGGCUCCACAGAAGAAGGGAGAGACCAGAGACAGAAGAGAAGAAGUUCAUCAUGCCUGUGUCUGCCCCGGCUGCCCAAACUCUUCCCCUUCCUUUGCGACACUAAAACCAAGACAGUCGUUGCCUGUUCAGCUGAGGUCAGAUACAAUGUGUAAGCCCAAAGAUCUGUCCACCACCGCUCUACUGAGCCUCAGCAUGUGUCUACCAGACACCACUGACCAGAGAGGCACCAGCAGCACUUCAGAGUUAGAGACCAGGACGCCCGGACGUCUGCAGGAGGACGUGUCAGAUGGACAAACUCAGAGCCCAGCGUCAGAAUCAGAGACCCAACCCCCUAGAGUCCCUACAGGCUCUUUGUCCAGUCUCUCCAUGUUUCCCUGCUGGUGUUGUCACCAUGGUCUGCAGAUACGAAACACACAAGACAACUCAAAUCCACGAUUUCCACACAUGCAUGCGCACCAUCAUUUCCAUCACCACCAUUGCCCCAUAGCCUCCUGUUUCCCCUGCCCACAGCUGGCCCAUACACGCUCUUCACAACUCUCUGGACCGUUCCCCUGCUUUCCUUGUUCUUGUUCUCACGUCUUCCACCAUCAACACAGACAGGGUCAACAGCAGGAGGAGAGGGGCAGCAUGGCCUCCACCCUGUUGCAUCCUUGUAUGCACUGCUCAGCUUCCUUCUCCAGGCCGUCCCAGUUGCUGCAGCACCAGCGCUCUGAGCAUUCCCAAAAACAGUCUGGCUUCAUCUGCACAGAGUGUGGCAGGACCUUCAACUCCCACAGCAACCUGCGCAUACACCUUAAUGUACACACCGGAGCCCGGCCUUACACCUGCUCCGACUGCGGCAAAAGUUUCAGCCAGUCGGGGGCUCUGAAGAUUCACAGGCGCAUUCACACCGGGGAGAGACCGUACUCCUGUGGAUUUUGUGGCAGAGGGUUCCCCCAUCUAGCCGGGCUGCGAGCCCACCAGAGGACCCACACUGGGGAGAAGCCCUAUCGCUGCAGCCAGUGUGGGAAGUGUUUCACCCAGUCAGGGGCGUUGAAGAUCCACACCCGCAUUCACACAGGAGAGAGGCCCUUCAUCUGCAGCAUCUGUGGGAAAGGUUUCUCAAACCGAUCCGGAAUCCGUUUUCACUACCGCACGGUUCACGGACUGGCCCAUGAACGUGGUGGAGAAGAUGCUGCUGGAGGGGCACAGCGUGGAGCGGCGAGCCGAAGUUAUCCUCCUAGUUAUCCUGGGAAUUUCCCUUUGGCCAGCCAUAAUAUGACAGGCAGCUCAAACAGUGACUCGAAUCCACCUGCAAAUCUCAGAGUGUUAGCUGAGCCGACUGCAGCCCAGUCUGACCCGAGGAAACAGAACAGCAACAGGGAGGGCGGUCAGUAUUUGUGUGAAGACUGUGGCUUACGUUUUAAAGAUGCUCCAUCCAGGAACAGACACCAGACUCUGGUGCACUACUCUUCUGAGGUGAGGGGGGAUGAGGGGGGAGAGGAGGAGGAGAUACAGACAGAGACUUAAAUGCUGCUUAAUGUACAGGACCUGAUACUGCAUCAGCGCUAAACACUGCCACAAAAUGCUCCAUGACAAUGUGUCAUUGUAAACUAAAGCCCUACACCAACUGUGUCCAACCACACCUUCAUCUUGGAAGGUGGAAUCUUGGAAUCUUCUCUCCCUUUUGAGUGCCAUCAGUUUAAGCUGAGUUUCUGUUAACGUCAUUGAGUGUUUAAUAAAGGUCAAAGUGGACUAGGGUGUAUCUGUAUUAAAACUGGAAUUUUAAUCUAAAUAAAAAAGUAAUGGUGCUAUGGAAAAAAAAAUAAAACAAGCAAAGCAGAGAAAUUUGGCAAAUAUUCUUUAUAACACAGUAUCUGUGUUAUACUGUUUACUGUCUGACUGUGAGCCAGAUAAACUUAAAUAUUUAAUUAUUACUUUGGGCAAACGUCCCCAGGUUACAAAUAUCCGUCUAAUUCGUGAGGGCGUGGCCUAAAGUGUUAAGUAGGGGUCACAAAGAAGACAGUACCAUUCAGAGAGUUAGCUGUUGAUGUGUGGUCAAGACGCUUGAAAAUAACAGGAACUCAGUCUCUGGUCCAUUCCAGUGAUCCGGUGAUAUUGGCUAAGGAGCUUCAUGGCUGGUCAACACCUCCUCUAAUUAUAGGGAUGAGGGAAGACAGAGUAGGUUUCACAUCGGCACCUACUCUUCACCCCAGAACAAGAGGCUCCGGCGUGGGAGGCCCGGACUCCAGUCAAGAGGCCGCAGUGAGCCUCCGAACUAGAACUAUUUUAAUUAGACAGGCUUUGGACACUGACUGUUCCAGGUACAACGAAGUGUGCACAAAAAAGAAAAAAAAUUCUCACCAUUGAGAGGAGGACGAGGUAGAGCAUCGUGAACGUUCCGUUCCAGAGGAUAGGAAAUGAGCUCGGAUUGGGAGCAGGGAAGAUUUUUCACCUGAAAACUAGGAGAAUCUACAGAGACCCCCCGAUGAUGAUGAAUGUUA